UUCAGUUGUCGGGGUCGGGAUUCUCGACGUUUACUGUGAAAAAAUCAGAGUGUUCAACGCAGGCUUACGCCUUGAAUACAUUAGCAUGGAAUAAUGAGAUAGGACCUUGGCGGUCUAUUUUGUUGGUUUGCACGCCGAGGUAAUGAUUAAAAGGGACGGUUGGGGUUCUUCGUAUUCAAUUGUCAGAGGUGAAAUUCUUGGAUUUAUGGAAGACGAACUGCUGCGAAAGCGUCGAACAAGGACGUUCUCAUUAAUCAAGAACGAAAGUUAGGGGAUCGAAGAUGAUUAGAUACCAUCGUAGUCUUAACCAUAAACUAUGCCGAUUCAGGAUUGGCGGUCGUUUGUUCUCGACUCCGUCAGCACUGUAUGAGAAAUCAAAAUCUUUGGGUUCCGGGGGGAGUAUGGUCGCAAGGCUGAAACUUAAAGAAAUUGACGGAAGGGCACCACCAGGAGUGGAGCCUGCGGCUUAAUUUGACUCAACAC
Molecule: ribosomal RNA, 483 nt
Filed under: Pelagomonas calceolata
Lineage: Eukaryota; Pelagophyceae; Pelagomonadales; Pelagomonadaceae
Description: SSU rRNA
Rfam family: Eukaryotic small subunit ribosomal RNA
Source: RNAcentral